This 78-nucleotide microRNA precursor is filed under the name Schistosoma margrebowiei. RNAcentral describes it as "mir-3492 microRNA precursor family". It matches the Rfam family "mir-3492 microRNA precursor family". The record is from Rfam by way of RNAcentral. Lineage: Eukaryota; Metazoa; Platyhelminthes; Trematoda; Strigeidida; Schistosomatidae.
AGGUUUCUGAAUCCGUGCAGAGAUUUCGUCAGACACCAACCCAUUAGGGUUGAUCAGACUUCCAAGAUAAGUUGAGUU